Oncorhynchus tshawytscha (Chinook salmon) is the source of this 590-nucleotide long non-coding RNA. The record is from Ensembl. NCBI's taxonomy places the organism in Eukaryota, Metazoa, Chordata, Actinopteri, Salmoniformes, Salmonidae.
CCGCCCUCUCCGCUUCUCACCGCUUCCCUUCCAUUGAAAUGAAUGAGAAGCGGUGUUUCACUGCACGGCAUCUUGUGCUAGUAUAUCAUGCCCUCGGCUACCUGGUUAAAACGCUUGCUCAGUAGCCUAACUUCCUUUCAUUGGCAACGAUGAACCAGCGAGUUGACAUUAGCCUACUAUAUAUAGCUACAUAUUGAACUUCUAUCCUCUCAGGCUAUCAACCUCAAGAGGCAUCAUGGGGAGCAGCUAGGAGCAGUUCUCAUCUAUAAUGAAGCCAGGGAGCUUGUUGAAGAGGCAGCCAUGCUUUUAGGAGUCCACAAAAUAAACGCUUCAAGGGACAAGGACACCAAGGAGCACAGCUAUCAACAGAAAGCCUUCACAAAGAGAAAGAUAUUUAGGCUCGUUUUAAAGGAGCCCAGAGUCCGUGGUGACUGUCCGUGGUGACUGUCCGUGGUGACUUCAGGUGGUCCGGGAGGGCAUUCCAGAGGCAUCUUCCUACGCUCUUAAAAAAGAGGUGCUGUCUAGAACAGGAAAGUGUUAUUUGGCUGUCCUCAUAGGAGAGCCCUUUGAACAACUAGUUUUGGUUCCGG